RNAcentral lists this long non-coding RNA (1606 nucleotides) under Lathyrus oleraceus (garden pea). RNAcentral describes it as "Pisum sativum (pea) long non-coding RNA (PSAT_LNC037460)". Lineage: Eukaryota; Viridiplantae; Streptophyta; Magnoliopsida; Fabales; Fabaceae. The record is from RNAcentral.
UUCUUAUUUUUGUUCCUGCACUUUUUUGAAGGAAGUAUUAUUAGUAAGUACCGCAGGUAAGGAUGAAGCAACGCGAAAUAUACUGAAGCGUAUGGCGGGCACGCGUACGACAGAUAGUCCUGUUAUGGUGCUAACAUUAACAAUGCAAUUUUUCGUUGCCGAUUGUUUGAUGUUUAGAAUGAAAAUAACGUUUUGAGAUUUUUUAUAUAUUUUUCAUCAUAUCUAUAUAAGUGAUCAAGAUUUUCUUCAUUUUGUAGUUUCAAUGUUCAAGUGAUCCUACAUGUUGAAGAAAUGUUUCUUUCAAACACGUUGAAAGAAUAUUUCUUUCAAUCAUAUUGAUAGAUGUUGGGAUAUAAUGCAUAUUAUUUAUGAUUUGUGUAUCACAUAUGUCUUUUCAACUUGAAAGAAAAAUAUAUGUCUUUCCACCUUAGAUUGUAUUUUAAAAGGACAUCCAGUGAAUACUAUUUUUAUAUGAUAGAGUGAUAAACGAAUUGUGAGUCUAUAUACUAUAAAAUUAUUUAAUAAAAUAUAUUAAAUUAAUAUUUAACAUUAAUUAUUAUAAUUAAUUUAUUCAAAUGAUAAUAUUGAGGUUAACCUUGAGUUUAAACAUCAUUUGAUAGUGUAUUGUAUUUUUCAAAAUUAAUUAUAAAAUUUAUAACCCAUCAAAAGAUAGUCAUAAGCCACUUAACAAAAUAUUAUUUCAAAAUUAAUAUUUGUAAUACCUUCAACUUUUAGAUAUUAAAAUUAUUAGAUAUAGUGCCAAUGGUUACUGAGUAUGAUAUAAUUGAUUACUUUAAGGAAUUUUUCAAAAAAUAAUGAAUUGUUUUUGUUUAAAAUAAAUGAUAUUCAUUCAUUAUCACAAUGUUAAUAUUCAUCAUUAUAAUUAAACAUUAUGUGGCAACUCCGCCAACAGAGUACUUUCUUCUUGGGGCAAAAAAAAAUGACUUUACCAAACCAAAAAAUGAAAGAAGAAAGAGCCCUAGCUCUCUAAUUUACUGUUACCAUUUCCAGUUGCAUCAACAACACCAUAAGCCAAAUACAACGAGAUAAGGACUUCACCAACAACACCAUAAGGAAAAUACAACGAGAAGCUUCCAUCUUCCUUCUAGGAACCAAGCAAGGUAUAAUCAAUUUUUUUCAAAUGAUGUUUUGCAAAAUAAUAAAAGGAUUUGAGUCUGUCAGAACACCGUGUGACCACCCCAGUUGGUAGGCACCAACUGAGAACGAUCAUCUACAGCUUGGAUGAUGACCACAACAUGCAGAUCAUCUGGGCCGUUAAUCACGCUCUGAUCACACGGUCAUGAUUCAUCCACCAGACUUAUGUUCCUGUCUCCUUAGAAAUCAAGGACACAGUAGUACGAGCCUAUAGAACAGAUCCUGUUCAAGUAAGGUCGUAUUCAUCAGCAGUUAGACUGAGAUAUAUAAAAGUUUAAGAUUUUCUGGGCUUCAACGAUGUGGGAGUAAUAUAAUAGUUUUUGCUGUAACUAGUUUUAUUUAUGUUAAAAAUGUCACAAGAGUGGUGCAUAAUGAUGAUUUGAUGUUUAUUGUAUAUUGUUUAUGUUUGUGUAAUUAUAUUGAAAUCUUGGAAUUUCAAUUUUAUUAUUCA